CAAACUUGAGAGUUUGAUCCUGGCUCAGAACGAACGCUGGCGGCAUGCCUAACACAUGCAAGUCGAACGAGCCCUUCGGGGUUAGUGGCGCACGGGUGCGUAACGCGUGGGAAUCUGCCCUUGGGUUCGGAAUAACUCGCCGAAAGGCGUGCUAAUACCGGAUGAUGUCGAAAGACCAAAGAUUUAUCGCCCAAGGAUGAGCCCGCGUAAGAUUAGGUAGUUGGUGA
RNAcentral lists this ribosomal RNA (227 nucleotides) under Escherichia coli. Its description in RNAcentral is "partial 16S ribosomal RNA". It matches the Rfam family "Bacterial small subunit ribosomal RNA", at positions 1 to 255 of the family's 1533-position model. The record is from RNAcentral. Lineage: Bacteria; Pseudomonadati; Pseudomonadota; Gammaproteobacteria; Enterobacterales; Enterobacteriaceae.